ACGCUUAUGGUGUAAUGGAUAGCACAAGAGAUUUCUAAUCUCUGAGUCUAAGUUCGAAUCUUAGUAGAUGUA
RNAcentral lists this transfer RNA (72 nucleotides) under Flavobacteriaceae bacterium. RNAcentral's name for it is "tRNA-Arg". It matches the Rfam family "tRNA". Rfam says of the family: Transfer RNA (tRNA) molecules are approximately 80 nucleotides in length. The record is from RNAcentral. Lineage: Bacteria; Pseudomonadati; Bacteroidota; Flavobacteriia; Flavobacteriales; Flavobacteriaceae.